GAAGACUAUACUGUCUCCCUACUCCAAUCAGUGAAACUGAUCUCCCCGUGAAAAAGCAGGGAUAUCCUUAUAAGACGAGAAGACCCCAUGGAGCUUUAAGCCCGGUAACAACCCCCUCCAUUUAUUCCCUUUUAGACUAAAAGACCUUGCUUACCACUUUAGGUUGGGGCGACCACGAAGUACACUAAAACCUUCACGAUAAAAGGAGCCUGCUCCUUAUCUACGAGCUACCCCUCUAAGAAUCAGAACCCCGAUAUAAAAUGAUCCGAUCUAAUCGAUCAACGAACCAAGUUACCCUGGGGAUAACAGCGCAAUCCAUUUUAAGAGUUCUUAUCGCCAAAUGGGUUUACGACCUCGAUGUUGGAUCAGGGUAUCCUGGUGGUGCAACCGCUACUAACGGUUCGUUUGUUCAACGAUUAAAACCCU
RNAcentral lists this ribosomal RNA (426 nucleotides) under Petropedetes juliawurstnerae. RNAcentral's name for it is "partial 16S ribosomal RNA". It matches the Rfam family "Bacterial large subunit ribosomal RNA", at positions 2006 to 2597 of the family's 2925-position model. Lineage: Eukaryota; Metazoa; Chordata; Amphibia; Anura; Petropedetidae. The record is from RNAcentral.